RNAcentral lists this transfer RNA (64 nucleotides) under Elateridae sp. 3 ACP-2013. Its description in RNAcentral is "tRNA-Leu". Lineage: Eukaryota; Metazoa; Arthropoda; Insecta; Coleoptera; Elateridae. The record is from RNAcentral.
AGUUACUUUGGCAGAUUAGUGCAAUUGAUUUAGAAUCUUUAAAUGUUAAUUUUAACAGGUAAUA